GCGGAUGUAGCGCAGCUGGUAGUGCAUCACCUUGCCAAGGUGAGGGUCGCGGGUUCGAAUCCCGUCAUCCGCU
Molecule: transfer RNA, 73 nt
Filed under: Gordonia alkanivorans
Lineage: Bacteria; Bacillati; Actinomycetota; Actinomycetes; Mycobacteriales; Gordoniaceae
Description: tRNA-Gly
Rfam family: tRNA
About the family: Transfer RNA (tRNA) molecules are approximately 80 nucleotides in length. Their secondary structure includes four short double-helical elements and three loops (D, anti-codon, and T loops).
Source: RNAcentral